This 497-nucleotide ribosomal RNA is filed under the name uncultured bacterium. RNAcentral describes it as "partial 16S ribosomal RNA". It matches the Rfam family "Bacterial small subunit ribosomal RNA", at positions 28 to 507 of the family's 1533-position model. The record is from RNAcentral.
GACGAACGCUGGCGGCGUGCCUAAUACAUGCAAGUAGAACGCUGAAGAGAGGAGCUUACUCUUCUUGGAUGAGUUGCGAACGGGUGAGUAACGCGUAGGUAACCUGCCUUGUAGCGGGGGAUAACUAUUGGAAACGAUAGCUAAUACCGCAUAACAAUGGAUGACACAUGUCAUUUAUUUGAAAGGGGCAAUUGCUCCACUACAAGAUGGACCUGCGUUGUAUUAGCUAGUAGGUGAGGUAAUGGCUCACCUAGGCGACGAUACAUAGCCGACCUGAGAGGGUGAUCGGCCACACUGGGACUGAGACACGGCCCAGGCUCCUACGGGAGGCAGCAGUAGGGAAUCUUCGGCAAUGGGGGCAACCCUGACCGAGCAACGCCGCGUGAGUGAAGAAGGGUUUCGGAUCGUAAAGCUCUGUUGUAAGUCAAGAACGGGUGUGAGAGUGGAAAGUUCACACUGUGACGGUAGCUUACCAGAAAGGGACGGCUAACUACGUG